GCGGACCGGUGAGUUUUCUCUGGGUAACCUGCCCAUAUUUACUGGGAUAACUCCGGGAAACCGGGGCUAAUACCGGAUAACAUUUUGAACCGCAUGGUUCGAAAUUGAAAGGCGGCUUCGGCUGUCACUUAUGGAUGGACCCGCGUCGCAUUAGCUAGUUGGUGAGGUAACGGCUCACCAAGGCAACGAUGCGUAGCCAACCUGAGAGGGUGAUCGGCCACACUGGGACUGAGACACGGCCCAGACUCCUACGGGAGGCAGCAGUAGGGAAUCUUCCGCAAUGGACGAAAGUCUGACGGAGCAACGCCGCGUGAGUGAUGAAGGCUUUCGGGUCGUAAAACUCUGUUGUUAGGGAAGAACAAGUGCUAGUUGAAUAAGCUGGCACCUUGACGGUACCUAACCAGAAAGCCACGGCUAACUACGUGCCAGCAGCCGCGGUAAUACGUAGGUGGCAAGCGUUAUCCGGAAUUAUUGGGCGUAAAGCGCGCGCAGGUGGUUUCUUAAGUCUGAUGUGAAAGCCCACGGCUCACCCGUGGAGGGUCAUUGGAAACUGGGGAGACUUGAGUGCAGAAGAGGAAAGUGGAACUCCAUGUGUAGCGGUGAAAUGCGUAGAGAUAUGGAGGAGCACCAGUGGCCGAAGGCGACGUUCUGGUCUGUAACUGACACUGAGGCGCGAAAGCGUGGGGAGCAAACAGGAUUAAAUACCCUGGUUGUUCACCCCGUAAACA
RNAcentral lists this ribosomal RNA (728 nucleotides) under Bacillus sp. J008. RNAcentral's name for it is "bacterial SSU rRNA". It matches the Rfam family "Bacterial small subunit ribosomal RNA", at positions 98 to 808 of the family's 1533-position model. Lineage: Bacteria; Bacillati; Bacillota; Bacilli; Caryophanales; Bacillaceae. The record is from RNAcentral.